GAUGAACGCUGGCGGCGUGCCUAAUACAUGCAAGUCGAGCGAACGGACGAGAAGCUUGCUUCUCUGAUGUUAGCGGCGGACGGGUGAGUAACACGUGGAUAACCUACCUAUAAGACUGGGAUAACUUCGGGAAACCGGAGCUAAUACCGGAUAAUAUUUUGAACCGCAUGGUUCAAAAGUGAAAGACGGUCUUGCUGUCACUUAUAGAUGGAUCCGCGCUGCAUUAGCUAGUUGGUAAGGUAACGGCUUACCAAGGCAACGAUGCAUAGCCGACCUGAGAGGGUGAUCGGCCACGCUGGAACUGAGACACGGUCCAGACUCCUACGGGAGGCAGCAGUAGGGAAUCUUACGCAAUGGGCGAAAGCCUGACGGAGCAACGCCGCGUGAGUGAUGAAGGUCUUCGGAUCGUAAAACUCUGUUAUUAGGGAAGAACAUAUGUGUAAGUAGCUGUGCACAUCGUGACGGUACCUAAUCAGAAAGCCACGGCUAACUACGUG
Molecule: ribosomal RNA, 497 nt
Filed under: uncultured bacterium
Lineage: Bacteria
Description: partial 16S ribosomal RNA
Rfam family: Bacterial small subunit ribosomal RNA
Source: RNAcentral